Long non-coding RNA from Megalobrama amblycephala (Wuchang bream), 1137 nucleotides. RefSeq lists it as uncharacterized. The transcript has 5 exons. The record is from RefSeq and is a predicted model, not a curated record. Lineage: Eukaryota; Metazoa; Chordata; Actinopteri; Cypriniformes; Xenocyprididae.
UAAAAAAAAACAAGUGUUUAACCAAAUUAUAUAAUAAUAAUAAUAAAGGCUAACAAUAAUGUAUAUGAAAUAAAAAUGUGCCCUAUUAGCACUAUUUUGCCACUUCUGUGUCAGUUUGUUGGUACGUCAAUAUUUCAGAAAAUAGAAAUUAUAUGCUCAUUUUCAUUUUUUGCGGUCUGAAGAGAUAUCGCGAGAUUACACGAGACUAUAAGAUAUCAAACACCAGAGCCUGAAGCGGAUCUGAGUUACCAUGGAAACGGGGAAACGUCAGUCAGCAAGACCCCGUCUCGCUGUUGUUUUCACUGAUUUUAGGGUCGACAGAAAACCCCCUCUACAACAAAGGAGAAGCUGACAGAGGAGGAGGAAACACAGAUCCUUCCAUGCGGAUGGACUCCUGCACCCCAGCAGAGCUGAGUGACCUCCUGUCAAAGGCCAUGAACCAGAUGAACCUCAAUCAUUCAGUACACUACUGUUGAAAAGUUGUGGCUCUGUAAGAUUUUUACAUGUUUUUGAAAGAAGUCUCACAUUUUAAAAUCAUUAACCCCGGGUUGUUUCAGUGAGAUUGUCCUUGAAAGGCCUGUAGGCUAAAUAAUCAGCUAAAUGAGGUAACAUAGGUGACAAGUAUAAAGUUAUAAUGCUUGUAGUUAUAAUCAUUUAUUUAACUAUUAUAAUAACAUGAUAUCAUGGUCAUUAAUCUAUUUUAUUGUAUUUCUCUAUGUCUGUUUGUUUAUGUUUGCCAGUGAACAGACGCCAUACUGUUCCACUCAAAGAUGAGAUGUAAUUGCUAGCGUUUGGUGCUGAGAUUCUUCAGGACAAGGCCUUGAUGCCAUUCACACUCACUACAUGAAGAUGAUUCACCAAACCUCUGGCUGAUCACUGGCAAUUUGGUAAGAGAUUGUUGUCUAUAUCACUGUCACUUCUUUUUCUAGUUGAUUUAUUAACAUUUUGUGAUUUUCUAUUACUUAAUUGAAUAUAAAUGCACUUAGGUUGAUUUUAAUUUAUUUACAAAGUAUAGAUAGGAUUCUGUUGUGUAAUGUUUCUCUAUAUAAUUAGUAAUAUAUCGAGCCCCCAGGGGAAACAAUAUAAAUCUGUGUAAGUGUAAGUAUUAAAUGAUAAUAUAUUUUGAUGUUUGUUUGU